Molecule: ribosomal RNA, 253 nt
Filed under: uncultured bacterium
Lineage: Bacteria
Description: partial 16S ribosomal RNA
Rfam family: Bacterial small subunit ribosomal RNA
Source: RNAcentral
UACAGAGGGGGCAAGCGUUGUUCGGAAUUACUGGGCGUAAAGGGCGCGUAGGUGGCCUGUUAAGUCGAACGUGAAAUCCCCGGGCUCAACCCGGGAACUGCGUCCGAUACUGGCAGGCUUGAAUUCGGGAGAGGGAUGCGGAAUUCCAGGUGUAGCGGUGAAAUGCGUAGAUAUCGGGAGGAACACCGGUGGCGAAGGCGGCGACCUGGGUUGACAUUGACGCUGAGGCGCGAAAGCGUGGGGAGCAAACAGG